RNAcentral lists this ribosomal RNA (715 nucleotides) under bacterium 84_oclvp575. RNAcentral's name for it is "bacterial SSU rRNA". It matches the Rfam family "Bacterial small subunit ribosomal RNA", at positions 50 to 754 of the family's 1533-position model. RNAcentral also lists the same sequence under 1 other name. The record is from RNAcentral.
UACACAUGCAAGUCGAACGGCAGCGGGGGGUAGCUUGCUACCCCGCCGGCGAGUGGCGGACGGGUGAGUAAUGCCUGGGGAGCUGCCCAAUCGAGGGGGAUACCAGUUGGAAACGACUGCUAAUACCGCAUACGCCCUGAGGGGGAAAGGUGGGGAUCUUCGGACCUACCGCGAUUGGAUGCACCCAGGUGGGAUUAGCUAGUUGGUGAGGUAACGGCUCACCAAGGCGACGAUCUCUAGCUGGUCUGAGAGGAUGACCAGCCACACUGGAACUGAGACACGGUCCAGACUCCUACGGGAGGCAGCAGUGGGGAAUAUUGCACAAUGGGGGAAACCCUGAUGCAGCCAUGCCGCGUGUGUGAAGAAGGCCUUCGGGUUGUAAAGCACUUUCAGCGAGGAGGAAAGGUUGGCAGCUAAUACCUGUCAGCUGUGACGUUACUCGCAGAAGAAGCACCGGCUAACUCCGUGCCAGCAGCCGCGGUAAUACGGAGGGUGCAAGCGUUAAUCGGAAUUACUGGGCGUAAAGCGCACGCAGGCGGUUGGAUAAGUCAGAUGUGAAAGCCCCGGGCUCAACCUGGGAACUGCAUUUGAAACUGUUCGACUAGAGUCUUGUAGAGGGGGGUAGAAUUCCAGGUGUAGCGGUGAAAUGCGUAGAGAUCUGGAGGAAUACCGGUGGCGAAGGCGGCCCCCUGGACAAAGACUGACGCUCAGGUGC